GGCAGCAGUAGGGAAUAUUGCACAAUGGGCGCAAGCCUGAUGCAGCGACCCCGUGAGUGAUGAAGGCCUUCGGGUCGUAAAGCUCUGUUGUAUGGGAAGAAAAAACUAUGGCUAAUAUCCAUAGUCUUGACGGUACCAUAUCAGAAAGGACCGGCUAACUUCGUGCCAGCAGCCGCGGUAAGACGAGGGGUCCUAGCGUUGUUCGGAAUCACUGGGCGUAAAGCGUAUGUAGGCGGGCUUUUAAGUCGGGUGUGAAAUCCCACGGCUCAACCGUGGAAUUGCAUUCGAAACUGGAAGUCUUGAGUGUGGGAGAGAUUGGUAGAAUACCUAGUGUAGUGGUGAAAUACGUAGAUAUUAGGUGGAAUACCGGUGGCGAAGGCGGCCAAUUGGCCCAACACUGACGCUGAGAUACGAAAGCGUGGGGAUCAAACAGGAUUAGAUACCCUGGUAGUCCACGCCGUAAACGAUGAUCACUUGGUGUUGCAGGUAUUGACCCCUGCAGUGCCGAAGCUAACGCGUUAAGUGAUCCGCCUGGGAAGUACGGUCGCAAGAUUAAAACUCAAAGAAAUUGACGGGGGCCCGCACAGCGGUGGAGCAUGUGGUUCAUUCGAUGCAACGCGAAAAACCUACCUGGGUUUGAAGUGCUAGUGAUGCGAGAGAUAUCGCAGGCCUUCGGGACACUAGUAUCAGGUGCUGCAUGGCUGUCGUCAGCUCGUGUCGUGAGAUGUCGGGUUAAGUCCCAUAACGAGCGCAACCCUUGUCUUUAGUUGCCAGCAUUAGUUGGGCACUCAGAGAGACGCCGACGUUAAGUCGGAGGAAGGUGGGGAUGACGUCAAGUCCUCAUGGCCUUUAUGUCCAGGGCUAC
RNAcentral lists this ribosomal RNA (865 nucleotides) under uncultured bacterium. RNAcentral describes it as "bacterial SSU rRNA". It matches the Rfam family "Bacterial small subunit ribosomal RNA", at positions 347 to 1217 of the family's 1533-position model. The record is from RNAcentral.